AAACAUUAACACCGUAAAUAAUAUUGAAGUUAAGAUAGGUGAUUUGAUUUUUGUGAUGAUUGAGAUUAAACUAAAUGCGGAUAAAUGCAUGCAAUCUAAAUGCAGAGGCUCAGGAUCCCUAGGAGAAGAUCUGAUAUUAUGCAGAAUACAUAAAAGAUGCUUCAUUUCAAAGUAGGUACUACAAGAAGUAGCAAGCUAGCUUUUUGAACUUUUUUUUCUCUAAGAGAAUUAUGGUAUGAUUAUGAAGAGAUGUUUGGAUCAUGGCGCAGCUCAGGCCAGAGAAAGGCACCCAUUGCAAACUCUCUCUUGUGAGCCAAGUCACCCUUGGUAGACAACCCAUACUCUGCAAGAAGCCGGUUGACCUUCCACUCAGGCAUGUCCUGGUAGUCCUUCUUGGUAUAUCUUGGGUAGUGGAGCGGCAUCUUGAAGAAGCUCACGCUACCGUUGGUUUUCUGGCUUUCCAUCGAGCUAUCUCUUUUCUCUCUUAGCUAGCUUUUGUUUUGUGGUUUUAGGUGGUGCUGCUGUGGAACUUACUGUUGCUUCAGGAAUUUUGAGAUCCAUUUAUAGACUGUGAGAGAGAGUUUGUACGUUCCUGGAGGAGGCAGGUUGUAGAGGCAUGAUUAGAGCACUUCCAGCGGCAAGGGGAAGCCAGGGCAGGAGAGGGCCUAGGCCCGCGUGACGGCUCCAGCGUGCAAGGGCAAGCCCAAAUAAGGCGUGAGCCCACCAACCCUAGUAAAUCCAGCUAGUGCUGCUGCCUGGACAAGUCAUGUAAUGCUAACAUCCCAAUUUAAAAAAUUAAAAAAAUUGUAAAAAAAAGGAAAAAAAUUACCUAAAAAUUCAGAUUUUUUAUAUAUUUAUAAAUACUUAGCUAUAUUCUUUACUUCCCACACCAAAACUCUAAAUCUUAUCAGAAUUAAUAGUUUAUGUAUAUAAAAUAAAAAUAAUUUAAAGUGAAUAGUAAUUGCCAUUUGCCAUAGCAAUGGAUGGAAACACACUUUGCAUUUUGCAAGGGCUAGUACUAUUCAUGUGAAUAGUAAUAGCUUUUAUCUCCCUUUGUUUUUUGUCAUGACAAAUGGAUGGAAGUGCUCUUCAGGUUCACAAGAAUUGGUUGACAUACCUUCUCACAACAUAGUAUUUACGUGUUAAAUCUUUAGGCCGUGUGAUACAGUGGUACUUUUAUUUUUCAAGUUUUUAUUUUUUAUAAUCAAAAUAAUAAUGAACUUCAUUAAUUGGAAAACUUCACGAGAACUAAAUGGAGCAAAACAAAGUGUCCUCGUUAAAACGUUGUGAUAGAAAACCCCCAAGAGAUAAAAAUCCUAACAACCUGAGGAGGACAAUACCGAUAGCAACGGUAGACAUGGCCCCCUACCCUGAAACUCACUCAACAAACACAAUCUCGGCUGUCAAAGUGACCCCAUGAAAAAUGAUUAAAAAUCCAAAACUAGCGGUGCCAAUAAGCAACAUGUGUUCGAAUAACAAUCUCUAAUCCCAUGCGAUCAUCAUCCAAAACACAAAACUUACCACACAAUUAAGACUGUAGGGCCUCCUGCAGGGGAUCAGAUGGACCUCCCUCUUCUCAGCCACACGAUGAGUUUGUGUGACUUUUUUGAAUGAUUAAGAAUCGAACACACAUAAUUGAAGGGCCCGGAUUUGAUACAUUUGGGGUACCAUGUCUAAUAGGCAAGUACGUUACAUACACGUAUGAGGCUCAAACAUGAAAUAUAUGUGUAAGACUAGGAGUAAGAAGACUUCAGUCUAAUAUGUGUGGUGUCUAGGAUCCGUAUCAACAACCACUUGAUUGUGGGGACUAGGGCCCCUUAAAUUCAAUAAUCAAAUAUGUAUUCCUAGCCUCAUGAUUUGCUUACCUAAACCCUAAACCCUACUUUACUUCGAAGUGUUGGACAUGUGUCCUUCCAACCACAUUAUCCAAAAUAUGAAGGGAAAAAAUAAAAUAAAAAAUGGUACGAUUGUGUGUCCUACUAUUUCAAUCACGACUGCUCAUGACGUAUUAAUUUUUAUAGAAAUAGAAAGAGGUAAGACUCACAUUCAUAUCAUACGUGUCCACAUACAGAGCAAAGCGCUCUAUCACUAUAAAAGAUCAUACUUUCAUGUAAUAAGUUGAUUGUGAGAAUAAAUUGUACGUAUCUUGUUUUAUUGAAGACUUUCUAUUUGGAUUUCUAUAGUGGGAAUUCAAACAAAAUGAGAAUAUUGUUUUGGUUCUCGUAUUGAAUGAUUAUCCAUUCUCUUGUAUUAGGUAAAAAAAUGCACUGGGAUGCUACUUCCCUUCUUUCCUGAAAGGGGACAUUCCUAUUUCCUGUAAAUCCAUGUUUGACACAUAUGCAAAAAUAAUUCAUCAAAAAUACAAAAAGAAAAUCUCUAAACACAUUUCAAAUUAUGAUUGGUAUGAAAAUCUCUAACUAUCAUAUUUGAAUGGUCUCAAACAGCUCUCAGUUCCUAGAAAGAUUAACUCAUAUUAAUUUCACAUUAGUUGCUCAUUGUCCCGUCGUUGAAUGGUGGUUAUUUUACUGGACAUUUUGGUUUAACUUUUCUUAGUGAUGCAUGGGAUAUGAAUAUAUGGACAAUUUUUUUUAUGGCAACAUGAAUUUAUGUUACUAUACCGCUGGACAUAUACUAAUUUUCAUGUGUUCAUUCUCAAAGCUUGUAUUUUCCACAUCCACUGCUGCUGUGGAAGUUAUACAUUUAUCUCAUCCUUCCUCAUUUACUUUGCAUGUAACUGUUUUCAUUUCGUGGUUCUUUGUGGUGUAAAAUUGGAUAUUUGACCCAAUGAAUCCUCUUGUGUUCUGCAGCUGUGAUGCAAUCAGAUGGGUACAAGCAUCUAGAAGAGAGCUGCCCCUCAAUGUUGCUGGAGUUGCUCUAGAGACAUUUGCUGUUUGCAGCAGUGGGUGAGAGUUCAAGUCUUCUGUCAAGUAGGAAGAGGAGUGGCAGCAGCAUAUAUGGGCUAGACUUGCCAGCAGAAGGUGGCGGGGCUGUAGCAGAAUCAGCAAAUCCCAGUGGAAGGCGUGUGGAAGCAGCAUAGUUGGUUUACUGAGAGUUGUUAUCCUUGGUUAUUUUAAGUGGAAAUUCUUUGUUAUCGCGCACAGUUUUGAUAGGUUAGGGAACUAAAGUGGCUUUACUUGUUGAAAAUGAAUUCAAUAUUAGAUUUAUUUCAAUAAUUUUUUUCUUCCUCUUGAGUUCAUUUGGGCUGCUAAGGUGAAUGCACUACUGUAAUUGGAAACAAAAUUCAUCAUUCAAUUUAGGAAGGAAAAAAAAAGAACUAGUAGAAGAUCUGAUAUUGUGCAGAAUACAUAAAAGAUGCUUCAUUUCAAAGUAGAUACUACAAGAAGUAGCAAGCUAGCUUUUUGAACUUCUAAGAGAAUUAUGGUAUGAUUAUGAAGAAGGGUUUGGAUUAUGGCGCUGCUCAGGCCAGAGAAAGGCACCCAUUGCAAACUCUCUCUUGCGAGCCAAGUCACCAGUGGUAGACAACCCAUACUCUGCAAGAAGCCGGUUGACCUUCCACUCAGGCAUGUCCUGGUAGUCCUUCUUGGUAUAUCUUGGAUAGUGGAGCGGCAUCUUGAAGAAGCUCACGCUACCGUUGGUUUUCUGGCUUUCCAUCGAGCUAUCUCUUUUCUCUCUUAGCUAGCUUCUGUUUUGUGUUUUUAGGUGGUGCUGAUGUGGAACUACUGUUGCUUCAGG
RNAcentral lists this long non-coding RNA (3693 nucleotides) under Prunus persica (peach). RNAcentral's name for it is "long non-coding RNA (PPER_LNC002815)". Lineage: Eukaryota; Viridiplantae; Streptophyta; Magnoliopsida; Rosales; Rosaceae. The record is from RNAcentral.